UACGGAGGGUGCAAGCGUUAUCCGGAUUCACUGGGUUUAAAGGGAGCGCAGGCGGGCUGGUAAGUCAGUGGUGAAAGCCUUGAGCUUAACUCGAGAACUGCCAUUGAUACUAUCAGUCUUGAAUAUUGUUGAGGUUUGCGGAAUGGGUCAUGUAGCGGUGAAAUGCAUAGAUAUGACCCGGAACACCUAUUGCGAAGGCAGCAGGCUAAACAAAGAUUGACACUGAUGCACGAAAGCGUGGGGAUCAAACAGG
This 253-nucleotide ribosomal RNA is filed under the name uncultured bacterium. RNAcentral's name for it is "partial 16S ribosomal RNA". It matches the Rfam family "Bacterial small subunit ribosomal RNA", at positions 524 to 776 of the family's 1533-position model. The record is from RNAcentral.